AGUUGGUGAGGUAAUGGCUCACCAAGGCGACGACGGGUAGGGGACCUGAGAGGGUGACCCCCCACAAUGGAACUGAAACACGGUCCAUACACCUACGGGUGGCAGCAGUAGGGAAUAUUGCACAAUGGGCGAAAGCCUGAUGCAGCAACGCCGCGUGUGCGAUGAAGGCCUUCGGGUCGUAAAGCACUUUUCUGAGAGAUGAGAAAGGACAGUAUCUCAGGAAUAAGUCUCGGCUAACUACGUGCCAGCAGCCGCGGUAAAACGUAGGAGGCGAGCGUUAUCCGGAUUCACUGGGCGUAAAGCGCGUGCAGGUGGUUCGGUAAGUUGGGCGUGAAAUCUCCCGGCUCAACUGGGAGAGGUCGUCCAAUACUACCGAACUUGAGAGCAGAAGAGGAAGAUGGAAUUCCCGGUGUAGUGGUGAAAUGCGUAGAUAUCGGGAGGAACACCAGUGGCGAAGGCGAUCUUCUGGUCUGUUUCUGACACUCAGACGCGACAGCUAGGGUAGUAAACGGGAUUAGAGACCCCGGUAAUCCUAGCCGUAAACGAUGUGAACUUGGCGUUGGUGGGUUAAACUCCAUCAGUGCCGAAGCAAACGCGAUAAGUUCACCGCCUGGGGACUACGGCCGCAAGGUUA
RNAcentral lists this ribosomal RNA (634 nucleotides) under uncultured bacterium. Its description in RNAcentral is "bacterial SSU rRNA". It matches the Rfam family "Bacterial small subunit ribosomal RNA", at positions 247 to 896 of the family's 1533-position model. The record is from RNAcentral.